RNAcentral lists this ribosomal RNA (590 nucleotides) under Klebsiella pneumoniae. RNAcentral's name for it is "partial 23S ribosomal RNA". It matches the Rfam family "Bacterial large subunit ribosomal RNA", at positions 911 to 1503 of the family's 2925-position model. The record is from RNAcentral. Lineage: Bacteria; Pseudomonadati; Pseudomonadota; Gammaproteobacteria; Enterobacterales; Enterobacteriaceae.
UGUUUCGGCUAGGGGGUCAUCCCGACUUACCAACCCGAUGCAAACUACGAAUACCGAAGAAUGUUAUCACGGGAGACACACGGCGGGUGCUAACGUCCGUCGUGAAGAGGGAAACAACCCAGACCGCCAGCUAAGGUCCCAAAGUCAUGGUUAAGUGGGAAACGAUGUGGGAAGGCACAGACAGCCAGGAUGUUGGCUUAGAAGCAGCCAUCAUUUAAAGAAAGCGUAAUAGCUCACUGGUCGAGUCGGCCUGCGCGGAAGAUGUAACGGGGCUAAACCAUGCACCGAAGCUGCGGCAGCGACACUAUGUGUUGUUGGGUAGGGGAGCGUUCUGUAAGCCUGCGAAGGUGUGCUGUGAGGCAUGCUGGAGGUAUCAGAAGUGCGAAUGCUGACAUAAGUAACGAUAAAGCGGGUGAAAAGCCCGCUCGCCGGAAGACCAAGGGUUCCUGUCCAACGUUAAUCGGGGCAGGGUGAGUCGACCCCUAAGGCGAGGCCGAAAGGCGUAGUCGAUGGGAAACAGGUUAAUAUUCCUGUACUUGGUGUUACUGCGAAGGGGGGACGGAGAAGGCUAUGUUAGCCGGGCGACGGUU